CUACUCUGCUCUUUUCUUUCGAGGGUGAGGCUGUGCAGUGUGCCGCGUGGGAGGAGGGAGGAGGAAGAUCUCGAGGCAGGACCGGAGCGAGCAGCCUAGUCUGUGUCUUCAGUAAAGUGUACAGCAUAAAGCAUCAUCAGGAGAAGGCAUAACCUCCCUAAAUGCCUGCCUGGAGGCAGUAAUGGGCUGCAUGAGGGACAACAAACUGAGGCUGAAUCCAGAUAAGACGGAGUCACUUAUUGUGCAGGGUCGAAACUCAGGAGAUAAUUUUGAUCUGCCGGUCUGGAUGGGGCCACACUCCCCAAGAAAGAACAGGAACCUCAAUUGGUCCAGAACACAGAGGCCAGACUGCUGAUCUGUUCCCAUCACUUUAGACAUAUAACGCCUGGAUCAACUUAUUUACAGCAGGUCUCAGUUCUAUUCUGGUGCAAAUCCAAGUGCUGGUUUUGAUGUAUACACUUCAAAGCUGGCAUUUGAGACCUUGAAACGGGGUCUCAAAUUGACCCCCAGUCCAGCAGCAGGACUUAGUCUCUUUGCCCUCCAAGUUACAAAGGCAGCUCACAGGGAGAAGAACUGGCUUACCUGAGUCUUGCUCUUCCACAGUGUAUCUGACAGCAGCAUGGAGAGAAUGUCCUGCUAAAGAAGAAUCACCUGGCCUGAAUUUGGCUCCCCAGGCUGAGCUUCUAUUUCCUAGAAGGUGCAAACCUGACUCUUGCCUUGCCUGGGCUGGCCUGCUCUGGAACCUGACUACCAGCCAAUCCUCAACCGUGCCAUACACUUCUGACACUCAAGGAUCUGUUUGCUCACUUCAGAACUUGACUUCCAGCCUGCCACUACUCAUCCAUCCAAACUGGCACCUGUGCUCUAGCCUUUUGGACUUGCUCUUUGGUCUGACUCUGCAAAGCCCUGACAGUUUCCCCCCAGGAUGUAAAGAACUGCCUGUCGAAAAAGAACUCAUCCUACAUACUCAGGUCAUCAUCUGAGUUCCUGCAUCAUAUUCUACAUCAAUUGAAGGCCAAGUUAACUGUUAUAAGAAACAAAGGCUUUUUGUGCAAUUCCUCCACCCUCACCCUCAUUAUGAAGUUUCCUUACAAACAAAGCUUGGUUAGUCUUUUUCCUCUCUCCUCUCCUCUUGUUUUGGAGAGAGGCAGAAAACUGUGCUCUUCCAGAGAAUGGGAGCUUUACAAUACUUUCUGCUUUUUAUUGUAUUAUUUAAUUAUUUUGAUUUUAAAAUGUUGUUUUGUGGUUGUUUAUAUAUUUUUAUGUUUUAGGCAGCUUUGGGUGCCUUUUGGA
Long non-coding RNA from Hemicordylus capensis (graceful crag lizard), 1293 nucleotides. RefSeq lists it as uncharacterized. The record is from RefSeq and is a predicted model, not a curated record. NCBI's taxonomy places the organism in Eukaryota, Metazoa, Chordata, Lepidosauria, Squamata, Cordylidae. The transcript has 3 exons.